CCCUUAGAUGUUCUGGGCCGCACGCGCGCUACACUGUUCGACGCAGCGAGUCUUAACCUUGACCGAAAGGUUUGGGUAAUCUUCAGCAAAGUCGAACGUGAUGGGGAUCGAUCAUUGCAAUUAUUGAUCGUGAACGAGGAAUUCCUAGUAAGUGCAAGUCAUCAGCUUGCGCUGAUUACGUCCCUGCCCUUUGUGCACACCGCCCGUCGCUACUACCGAUUGAAUGGUUUAGUGAGAUCUCUGGAUUGACGCUGGCUAGGGGGCGACCCUUGGCCAGGCUGUCGAGAAACUGCUCAAACUUGAUCAUUUAGAGGAAGUAAAAGUCGUAACA
RNAcentral lists this ribosomal RNA (331 nucleotides) under uncultured eukaryote. Its description in RNAcentral is "partial 18S ribosomal RNA". It matches the Rfam family "Eukaryotic small subunit ribosomal RNA", at positions 1470 to 1796 of the family's 1831-position model. The record is from RNAcentral.